CCCGCAGGUGUGGAGAACUAACCCCCGCAGGUGUGGAGAACUAACCCCCGCAGGUGUGGAGAACUAACCCAGCAGGUUAGGAGAACUAGCGCAGCAGGUUAGGAGAACUAGGUUAAAGUUAGGGAAAGGGUAAAGGGUUAGCUAAAAUGCUAACAUUCUCUCCGACCAUGCACUUUUUUUUUUAACAAUACUUUGGCAAACGAUGUCGCCCACUUAGUUAGGACGCCAUUGCUGCUCCAUCAAGGCUUACCUGCUCAGUAGGAGGAGGAGGAGGGUUCACUAGCAGAGUGCCAGCCGUCUUCAUGUCUCCCUGUCCUCUGUCUGCGAAGCCUGCAAGAACAGUCUGUAAAGCUGAGACAAUAACCCGAACAGAGACCGACCAAACCGUCCACUUAUAUCAUUGAUUACCAUAAAUAACUUUUAAAAAAGGUUCCUACUAGAGAAAUUAAAUUAGGUCUAAAUCCUCUGUUCGUAAAGUGAGAGAACGUGUUCAACCUCUAAAUCCUCUCUGUUCGUAAAGUGAGAGAACAUGUUCAACCUCUAAAUCCUCUCUGUUCGUAAAGUGAGAGAACGUGUUCAACCUCUAAAUCCUCUCUGUUCGUAAAGUGAGAGAACGUGUUCAACCUCUAAAUCCUCUCUGUUCGUAAAGUGAGAGAACAUGUUCAACCUCUAAAUCCUCUCUGUUCGUAAAGUGAGAGAACGUGUUCAACCUCUAAACCCUCUCUGUUCGUAAAGUGAGAGAACGUGUUCAACCUCUAAAUCUUUGAGUAAAGAAGUAAAAAGAGAUAAGUUGGAAAAAAAAAUAAUAAUAAAUCGAUCACAAAAUGUAAAGGUCAGCACUCACCUCUCUCUGUGUUGGAAGCAGUAGUACUAGACAAGGUAGUAGCAGCAGCAUCAGUAGUAAUAUUGACAACAGAGGUAGUAUUAGGGUUCCCCAGGGGGCUGUGGCUGGACCUCAUACCCAGGGAAGAGGCACCGCUGGCGGGGCAAGGAUCCAGCGGUCCUUGGGUCUGGUUCCCACUGGGCAGCCUCGGGGGAGGGUACCCCAGAGACGCUGAUUGGUACUGGGGUACGGCGGGAGGGGAGGCGGCUGGAGCUGGAGUGUAGGGCUGAGCUUGAGAGGUGUGGGUAGAGGAUUGGGGUGCAGUCGGGUACUGGUUGGGAGGUGCAGGUUGGGGUGCUUGUGGAGAGUAUUGUGUCAGGGGUGUGGGUACAGAGCAUACCCCAGUGUAGGCGUUCUGUCGCGGGGUAACGUUGCUACACCAGGGUAGAGAGCCAGCCAUACGUGGCUGGAAUGGCACGGGCUGGGUUGAGGCAGGGUGAAGGUGGCGGUUGGAAGGAUACCCCAGGGCGGAGCGCCCAUCCUGCCCGUAUCUGAACUCCAUAUGCUGGGGAGGUUCUGCAGCCGAUUGGGGGGUUGAUCUCUGGAGAUUGUCAUGCAGAUGGUGGCCCCCCAAACCCGAGGGGGUGGGGUACUGAGGGUGGGGGUGUCCGUACCCCUCCUGGGGCGCGGUGGAGGGGUGGGAGGGGUACCAGUGGGAAGAGGGGAGGGAGACUGAGGGUAGUUUGGGCUGCAUGCUGUAGGCCUGGUGAAGAGGGAGGAUGUAAGAGUGGGGGGCCACAUGGGGUUGGU
Long non-coding RNA from Oncorhynchus tshawytscha (Chinook salmon), 1633 nucleotides. The record is from Ensembl. NCBI's taxonomy places the organism in Eukaryota, Metazoa, Chordata, Actinopteri, Salmoniformes, Salmonidae.